RNAcentral lists this ribosomal RNA (460 nucleotides) under uncultured bacterium. Its description in RNAcentral is "partial 16S ribosomal RNA". It matches the Rfam family "Bacterial small subunit ribosomal RNA", at positions 338 to 795 of the family's 1533-position model. The record is from RNAcentral.
CCUACGGGAGGCAGCAGUGAGGAAUAUUGGUCAAUGGGCGCGAGCCUGAACCAGCCAAGUAGCGUGAAGGAUGACUGCCCUACGGGUUGUAAACUUCUUCUGUAAAGGAAUAAAGUGAGGCUUGUGUGCCUCUUUGUAUUUACUUUAUGAAUAAGGAACGGCUAACUCCGUGCCAGCAGCCGCGGUACUACAGAGGAUCCGAGCGUUAUCCGGAUUGAUUGGGCUUAAAGGGAGCGUAGAUGGGUUGUUAAGUCAGUUGUGAAAGUUUGCGGCUCAACCGUAAAAUUGCAAUUGAUACUGGCAGCCUUGAGUACAGUUGAGGUAGGUGGAAUUCGUGGUGUAGCGGUGAAAUGCUUAGAUAUCACGAAGAACUCCGAUUGCGAAGGCAGCCUACUAAACUGCCACUGACAUUGAUGCUCGAAAGUGUGGGUAUCAAACAGGAUUAGAUACCCCUGUAGUC